GCACACUGGCCCACCAGCCUUGGCCCAUCUGCACCUGCAGGAUGCUUCCUGUUUCCAUGGCUGCUGUGAACCAGCUGAGCUUCGCACAAUCUGCAAAAUUCUUCACUAUCCUGCAAGUACUGUCUCCAGCGAGGUCUGAGUCCCGGCCGUGAGGAAGAAGCCCUCCUUCCAGGGGUGUCCAUUCUUGGCUACGCGCCUUCAGCCUCGGGAUUUUCUCGCGUUCUCUUUUCAUCUUCACAGUUCCUCCCCUAUUGCAGUUAAUACUUCUUUAUAUGAAAUUUUCCUGUUCAGACACCUGGCUGGUUUGUGCCUUCCAAUUGGACCAGAGCCCAUAGUUCCAGAUGUCUGUACCAUGAUUAAAAGUCCUUCUCCCACUGAGAUACUUAAAACCCUCCUACCUGAUGUCUGCGGUGCUUUGGAAACGGAGCAGGCCCCUGUGCUCACCCCACCCCCGCCACAUCCUCCACCUGCCUUUUGUCUGCAGAAAAACUUCAAAGAAUAAGUUUAAUCAGAAAAGUGAGAAAACGCAGGCGCAGAGGAAAGCAGUCCAACGAGACCAAGUCACAACAUUUAGUCACGAAGCAAAGGCAAGGACUUCAGUUCCUCUCAGGGGCUGUGGGUCACCUUCUGAGCCGUGUCCUGAGAGCUGCCUUGUCGACACUGAAACCCCACCCGCUGGAAGACGUUAGCGGCGUGAUGACCAGACUGGGGCCAUGACAUUGCUGCCACAGUUCCCAGAAGUGGCCUCAAAGAAGCGGGAACAAACCGACCCUGGAACUGAAGACAAACUGUGCUUGACACAGUCAAGAGGCUGCUGCUCAGAUCACCCGACCAACUGCGAGGUGACGGCGGAGCGGACGGCGCUGUUUCCGCACGCAGCCCCCGCCCUCCGCCGUAAAACCUCUUGCCCCCCGAUUGUCAGUCUUUGGACAGGAGGCCCCCUCCGUGCUGCCGGCCUCCGAAAUAAAGCAACCUCACCUCUUUAUUGUCUUCAGAGCCGCGAGCGGCUGGGCCCCACUUUCAGUCAAGCUGCCACCUGCCGCCGUAACCACCGCAGCCCUAGGAGGGGUUUCACAUCUGUUGGUCUUAGUUCCCGCUUCCUCCUGUUGCUCUCUUUGGGAUUUUUUUUUUUUUUUUUCCUUUUCUAAGGCCACUCUCACAGCAUAUGGAGGUUCCCAGGCUAGGGGUCAAAUCGGAGCUGGAGCCACCGGCCUACACCAGAGCCACAGCAACAUGGGAUCCGAGCCGCAUCUGUGACCUGCACCACAGCUCACGGCAACGCCAGAUCUUUCACCCACUGAGCAAGGCCAGGGAUCGAACCCACAACCUCAUGGUUCCUAGUUGGACUUGUUAACUACUGAGCCACGAUGGGAACUCCUGGGAUUUUUUUUUUUUUUUGUUAUUCCUCCUGGAUGUUUGCUUUUCAUUGUGAACUUUAGAAUCCACUCAUCUCUCCCUAAAAAGCCAUUUUCAUGAUUUUUAUUUGAUUGUGAUCACUCUGGGGCUUGAGUCAGGAGAUGGCUCCUGUAGGUUGACUUUUCUUUUCUACAAAGGCUGUGACGGGCCUUUCCAGCCAGCUCAGGCUUCUUUUGUGGCACUUCGUGGUCGCGUGUCCCAUAAGGGUGUCCCUAGGGGUUUAAUGUCUGUUGUCAUGGCCAUGCAAAUCGGACUUCUCUGUCAUCGUACCUCCUCUCCAUGUGUCCUUAAACAGAGCCACUGACACCUGGACGUACCCUUGAGCUGAGCCACGUUGCUGAAGUCUCUUCUCGUGGCACCAGGAUGUCAGCGGCCUUGCUGGGGAUCCAAGGUUGUGCUCCUGGCUUGUGAUGUGUGGGCUGGAGGGAGCGGGGGCUCUGUGUGCAGGUGGAGGGGGGCGCCUCUGUCCCCACCCCAACCUCCAUGGCUCCUUGGACCGAGGCGGGGGCCUGACGGAGUCGGGGGAGCAGUUAGGGCUGUUUGUGGGCCUUUGUGAGCCCCCGAGACCAGGCGACAAAGCGCUUCAGAGCGGAGAAGACCCCCCAGCCUGGCUCCAUGUGAGGAGGUUCCAGGGGCACUGGCGCUGACCCUGGGCAGGUGCCUGGCCUUCCUUUGGACAGCAGGUUGGCAAAGCCACCAGACGCUCUCAGGCAUAAGGGCUGGGGAGGGCUGUUGCCCACAGACCCCUUCCUGGGCCCUGUGCUCCCUGGGGGCUCUGGGGAACGCCUGUGGUAGGAGCUCAGGGGUCAGCACAAGUGUCUCUGGGCCUCGAUGGUGCCCACAGCCAGGGCAGCAGGAGGUUUGGGUGAUCCCGGUUCUUGCCUUUACUCCUCGCAAAACCCGCCCUCAGGGAGUCAGAUUUUUAUGAAUGUUUGAAAGUAAAUACAGAAAAAGUCAGGAGGGGUUGUGUAUUCCCUGAUUCCAUCCCUGACUCAGGAACUUCCAUAUGCUGCAGGUGCAGUCAUACAGAAGGAGAAGGAGGAGGAGGAGGAGAAGUGGUACUUGCACACAAUGGAAUAUUACUCAGCCAUAAAAAAUGAAAUGCCAUUCACGGCAACAUGGAUGCAACUAGAGAUUCUCAUACUAAGUGAAGUAAGUCGGAAAGAGAAGGACAAAUACCAUGAUAUCACUUAUUGUGGAAUCUCAACUAUGGCACAAAUGAACCAUCUAUCAAACAGAGACAGACUCACAGACAUAGGAAACAGACUUGUGGUUGCCAAGGGGGACGGGGCCGGAGUGGGAUGGACGGGGAGUUUGGGGUUAGUAGGUGCACCCUAUGACAUUUGGAAUAAAUAAGCAAUGAGGUCCUGCUCUAUAGCACAGGGAACUCUGACCAGUCUCUUGGGAUAGACCGUGAUGGAAACUAAUACAAGCAAAGGAAUAUGGAUGUAUGACUGGGUCGCUUUGCUGUUCAGCAGAAAUGGGCACAACAUUGUAAAUCGACUAUACUCUAAUGAAAUUAAAAAAAAACUACUUAGACGUAACAAGGGUGAAAA
This 2972-nucleotide long non-coding RNA is filed under the name Sus scrofa (pig). RNAcentral's name for it is "lncRNA (ENSSSCG00055017386.1)". Lineage: Eukaryota; Metazoa; Chordata; Mammalia; Artiodactyla; Suidae. The record is from RNAcentral.